This 747-nucleotide long non-coding RNA is filed under the name Elaeis guineensis (African oil palm). RNAcentral describes it as "long non-coding RNA (EGUI_LNC078534)". Lineage: Eukaryota; Viridiplantae; Streptophyta; Magnoliopsida; Arecales; Arecaceae. The record is from RNAcentral.
GGACAUAAUUCUCAACACUUCACCCUUAGGUCAUUAUCUGUCCACUUAUUUAAAGCAGCUCUUUGCUCUGCCGUAGGAUGGGCUAGUAAGGCUAGGCAUUCUGGUCAAGUACAUAUCCAAUCUUUUUUGAUGUCAGGAAUAUCUUGAGAUUUCUGAGCCAGUCCUUAUAAUUUGUAUCGAUCAGUCGAUUGAUUUCAAAGAUGCAGGCUAGUGGGUUGAGGCCGACAUUGUUUAUCUGUGAGAGUAGAGAUUUUAGUUAGAUAUUUGUACUUAAAAUUAUAUUUGCUCUAGAGAUUUUUAGAUGCAAAUGGACUCUCACUAUUUUUUCGGAUUUUGAUACUCUCCGGAUGAAAAACAAAAAUCUGAUGCGACCAAUGUAAGAUUUGUAGUGGAUGCUACGGUCCCACCGAUGCCAUACACCUCACCUAAUAGUUAUUUGAAAGAAAAGUGCCUUAUAAGCCAAUUGCAAAUAUGUUGCAAUGGGACUUUUCUUUAUAAUUUUUUAACUCAUGUAAUGAUAUUUAUUAUUUGAAGUAUUGAUUCAUCAUUUUAGCUGCAUCUUAUUAUGUUUAAGAUUAUGAUAAACCUCAAAGAUUAGGACAAUGAUUUUAGGAGAUAUGAAUGGAUCAUGCUAGUGAGAUCUAAUACCCUAAAAUUUUAAUUUUAAAUAUUCCUGAUUGUAGGAGCACUGAGUUGGAGAUCAAUAUUUCGGAUAGACUGGCACAUCCUAUAUAUGCUCAAUUGGAG